AUGUCCUCUGGGGUUCCUUCAAAGCACUUCGGUAGGGCCAUUUCCAGCCUCGGAUGUCAUCGGCCCUCACUGAAGUGUUUGGGGGAACUCCGGCUGGCAU
This 100-nucleotide microRNA precursor is filed under the name Musa acuminata subsp. malaccensis (wild Malaysian banana). RNAcentral's name for it is "mir-395 microRNA precursor family". It matches the Rfam family "mir-395 microRNA precursor family". Rfam says of the family: mir-395 was identified in both Arabidopsis thaliana and Oryza sativa computationally and was later experimentally verified. mir-395 is thought to target mRNAs coding for ATP sulphurylases. The mature sequence is excised from the 3' arm of the hairpin. The record is from Rfam by way of RNAcentral. Lineage: Eukaryota; Viridiplantae; Streptophyta; Magnoliopsida; Zingiberales; Musaceae.